GACGAACGCUGGCGGCGCGCCUAACACAUGCAAGUCGAGCGGGGUCUAUUGGAGUGCUUGCACUCUGGCAGACCUAGCGGCGGACGGGUGAGUAACACGUGAGCAACCUGCCUUACAGAGGGGGAUAACGACUGGAAACGGUCGCUAAUACCGCAUAACAUCAUCGUAUCGCAUGGUAUGGUGAUCAAAGGAGCAAUCCGCUGUAAGAUGGGCUCGCGCCCGAUUAGAUAGUUGGCGGGGUAACGGCCCACCAAGUCGACGAUCGGUAGCCGGACUGAGAGGUUGAUCGGCCACAUUGGGACUGAGACACGGCCCAGACUCCUACGGGAGGCAGCGGUGAGGAAUAUUGGUCAAUGGACGAGAGUCUGAACCAGCCAAGUCGCGUGAAGGAUGACUGCCCUAUGGGUUGUAAACUUCUUUUAUGUGGGAAUAAAAAAGGGAACGUGUUCCCUAUUGCAUGUACCACUAUGAAUAAGCAUCGGCUAACUCCGUGCCAGCCGCCGCCGUAAUAC
Molecule: ribosomal RNA, 512 nt
Filed under: uncultured bacterium
Lineage: Bacteria
Description: bacterial SSU rRNA
Rfam family: Bacterial small subunit ribosomal RNA
Source: RNAcentral